This 497-nucleotide ribosomal RNA is filed under the name uncultured bacterium. Its description in RNAcentral is "partial 16S ribosomal RNA". It matches the Rfam family "Bacterial small subunit ribosomal RNA", at positions 28 to 507 of the family's 1533-position model. The record is from RNAcentral.
GAUGAACGCUGGCGGCGUGCCUAAUACAUGCAAGUCGAGCGAACAGACGAGGAGCUUGCUCCUCUGACGUUAGCGGCGGACGGGUGAGUAACACGUGGAUAACCUACCUAUAAGACUGGGAUAACUUCGGGAAACCGGAGCUAAUACCGGAUAAUAUAUUGAACCGCAUGGUUCAAUAGUGAAAGACGGUUUUGCUGUCACUUAUAGAUGGAUCCGCGCCGCAUUAGCUAGUUGGUAAGGUAACGGCUUACCAAGGCGACGAUGCGUAGCCGACCUGAGAGGGUGAUCGGCCACACUGGAAGUGAGACACGGUCCAGACUCCUACGGGAGGCAGCAGUAGGGAAUCGUCCGCAAUGGGCGGAAGCCUGACGGAGCAACGCCGCGUGAGGGAUGAAGGUCUUCGGAUCGGAAAACUCUGUUAUUAGGGAAGAACAAAUGUGUAAGUAGCUAUGCACGUCUUGACGGUACCUAAUCAGAAAGCCACGGCUAACUACGUG